RNAcentral lists this small RNA (3142 nucleotides) under Pan troglodytes (chimpanzee). RNAcentral describes it as "retained intron". Lineage: Eukaryota; Metazoa; Chordata; Mammalia; Primates; Hominidae. The record is from RNAcentral.
CCUCCCCCCUUUCCCAAGGACAAUCUGCAAGAAAGCAGCGGCGGAGGAGAGCUAAGACUAAAAGAGUGGAUCAUGACCCAUGAAGAGCACCAUGCAGCCAAAACCCUGGGGAUUGGCAAAGCCAUUGCUGUCUUAACCUCUGGUGGAGAUGCCCAAGGUAUGAAUGCUGCUGUCAGGGCUGUGGUUCGAGUUGGUAUCUUCACCGGUGCCCGUGUCUUCUUUGUCCAUGAGGGUUAUCAAGGCCUGGUGGAUGGUGGAGAUCACAUCAAGGAAGCCACCUGGGAGAGCGUUUCGAUGAUGCUUCAGCUGGGAGGCACGGUGAUUGGAAGUGCCCGGUGCAAGGACUUUCGGGAACGAGAAGGACGACUCCGAGCUGCCUACAACCUGGUGAAGCGUGGGAUCACCAAUCUCUGUGUCAUUGGGGGUGAUGGCAGCCUCACUGGGGCUGACACCUUCCGUUCUGAGUGGAGUGACUUGUUGAGUGACCUCCAGAAAGCAGGUAAGAUCACAGAUGAGGAGGCUACGAAGUCCAGCUACCUGAACAUUGUGGGCCUGGUUGGGUCAAUUGACAAUGACUUCUGUGGCACCGAUAUGACCAUUGGCACUGACUCUGCCCUGCACCGGAUCAUGGAAAUUGUAGAUGCCAUCACUACCACUGCCCAGAGCCACCAGAGGACAUUUGUGUUAGAAGUAAUGGGCCGCCACUGUGGAUACCUGGCCCUUGUCACCUCUCUGUCCUGUGGGGCCGACUGGGUUUUUAUUCCUGAAUGUCCACCAGAUGACGACUGGGAGGAACACCUUUGUCGCCGACUCAGCGAGACAAGGACCCGUGGUUCUCGUCUCAACAUCAUCAUUGUGGCUGAGGGUGCAAUUGACAAGAAUGGAAAACCAAUCACCUCAGAAGACAUCAAGAAUGUUCGUAUGAAUGAAGCCAGAGAGGCCUUAGACUCCAUAGCCCGUUCCCUUCUGGCUUCUGAGUCUCUUGACACUGCUUCUCCCCUUGGUCCUUCUGCACAUCUCUCCCUGGGUCCCUGCCCCUGAUUGCCUCCCACAAAGAACCAUUACAAGACAAGAGGCUGAGCUGUCCAUGGUUUACCCAAGUCUCUGCUUGUUUUCUUCCUUUGACUCUGCGUAACCCUCUCUCUGUCCCUCUGUUGGUCCCUUCAGCUGGUGGUUAAGCGUCUGGGAUAUGACACCCGGGUUACUGUCUUGGGGCAUGUGCAGAGGGGUGGGACGCCAUCAGCCUUUGACAGAAUUCUGGGCAGCAGGAUGGGUGUGGAAGCAGUGAUGGCACUUUUGGAGGGGACCCCAGAUACCCCAGCCUGUGUAGUGAGCCUCUCUGGUAACCAGGCUGUGCGCCUGCCCCUCAUGGAAUGUGUCCAGGUGACCAAAGAUGUGACCAAGGCCAUGGAUGAGAAGAAAUUUGACGAAGCCCUGAAGCUGAGAGGCCGGAGCUUCAUGAACAACUGGGAGGUGUACAAGCUUCUAGCUCAUGUCAGACCCCCGGUAUCUAAGAGUGGUUCGCACACAGUGGCUGUGAUGAACGUGGGGGCUCCGGCUGCAGGCAUGAAUGCUGCUGUUCGCUCCACUGUGAGGAUUGGCCUUAUCCAGGGCAACCGAGUGCUCGUUGUCCAUGAUGGUUUCGAGGGCCUGGCCAAGGGGCAGAUAGAGGAAGCUGGCUGGAGCUAUGUUGGGGGCUGGACUGGCCAAGGUGGCUCUAAACUUGGGACUAAAAGGACUCUACCCAAGAAGAGCUUUGAACAGAUCAGUGCCAAUAUAACUAAGUUUAACAUUCAGGGCCUUGUCAUCAUUGGGGGCUUUGAGGCUUACACAGGGGGCCUGGAACUGAUGGAGGGCAGGAAGCAGUUUGAUGAGCUCUGCAUCCCAUUUGUGGUCAUUCCUGCUACAGUCUCCAACAAUGUCCCUGGCUCAGACUUCAGCGUUGGGGCUGACACAGCACUCAAUACUAUCUGCACAACCUGUGACCGCAUCAAGCAGUCAGCAGCUGGCACCAAGCGUCGGGUGUUUAUCAUUGAGACUAUGGGUGGCUACUGUGGCUACCUGGCUACCAUGGCUGGACUGGCAGCUGGGGCCGAUGCUGCCUACAUUUUUGAGGAGCCCUUCACCAUUCGAGACCUGCAGGCAAAUGUUGAACAUCUGGUGCAAAAGAUGAAAACAACUGUGAAAAGGGGCUUGGUGUUAAGGAAUGAAAAGUGCAAUGAGAACUAUACCACUGACUUCAUUUUCAACCUGUACUCUGAGGAGGGGAAGGGCAUCUUCGACAGCAGGAAGAAUGUGCUUGGUCACAUGCAGCAGGGUGGGAGCCCAACCCCAUUUGAUAGGAAUUUUGCCACUAAGAUGGGCGCCAAGGCUAUGAACUGGAUGUCUGGGAAAAUCAAAGAGAGUUACCGUAAUGGUAGGUGGGGUGAGAGCGAGUGCCCUCUAUAGAGGCUGGUUCCCCAGUAUAGAAGCUGACUGCCCAUCCCUCAUUGCAGGGCGGAUCUUUGCCAAUACUCCAGAUUCGGGCUGUGUUCUGGGGAUGCGUAAGAGGGCUCUGGUCUUCCAACCAGUGGCUGAGCUGAAGGACCAGACAGAUUUUGAGCAUCGAAUCCCCAAGGAACAGUGGUGGCUGAAACUGAGGCCCAUCCUCAAAAUCCUAGCCAAGUACGAGAUUGACUUGGACACUUCAGACCAUGCCCACCUGGAGCACAUCACCCGGAAGCGGUCCGGGGAAGCUGCUGUCUAAACCUCUCUGGAGUGAGGGGAAUAGAUUACCUGAUCAUGGUCAGCUCACACCCUGAUAAGUCCACAUCUUCUCAGUGUUUUAGCUGUUUUUUUCAUUAGGUUUCCUUUUAUUCUGUACCUUGCAGCCAUGAUCAGUUCUGGCCAGGAGCUGGAGGAGCAGGCAGUGGUUGGGAGCUCCUUUUAGGUAGAAUUUAACAUGACUUCUGCCCCAGCUUUAUCUGUCACACAAGGCUGGGCACCUCUAGUGCUACUGCUAGAUAUCACUUACUCAGUUAGAAUUUUCCUAAAAAUAAGCUUUAUUUAUUUCUUUGUGAUAACAAAGAGUCUUGGUUCCUCUACUACUUUUACUACAGUGACAAAUUGUAACUACACUAAUAAAUGCCAACUGGUCACUGUG